UAUCGUCGUCGAGUUUUAAAGUUUGUCGAGAUUUCCAUUGAACAAUGUGCGAAAUGCGUUAUUACUGCAGGACCGGAUUACGCCCAAUCGUAGCCAUAGGCGCGUAUUUUUGGUAACAUUCCUAUGUUUUCCGUUGUCAAGUCAUCUAAAUGGCAUGCCUAUACAUCGUGACCAAUACGCUUUAGCUGUGCAAUUAUUUUAUAACUCG
Molecule: non-coding RNA, 208 nt
Organism: Cinara cedri
Lineage: Eukaryota; Metazoa; Arthropoda; Insecta; Hemiptera; Aphididae
Source: the annotation of a GenBank genome assembly